CUAAGGAAACAAUUAUCAUCUUCAGUUUUGAGAGACUUAAGAAAGUUUUUCAUUGUCACUUGCUUGCAAAUUGUAUUUGCAACAUUUUAAUCUUUUUAAGAUUAAGGGCCUAUAGCUCAGUUGGUUAGAGCACACGCCUGAUAAGCGUGAGGUCGGUGGUUCAAGUCCAUUUAGGCCCACCAUAACCACAAAUAGGCAAAAUCUUAAAAAAGCUCUUUGAAAAGUAGAUAAACGAAGGU
This 239-nucleotide unclassified non-coding RNA is filed under the name 'Beta vulgaris' phytoplasma. RNAcentral describes it as "partial 16S-23S ribosomal RNA intergenic spacer". The stretch from base 106 to 179 matches the Rfam family "tRNA". Lineage: Bacteria; Bacillati; Mycoplasmatota; Mollicutes; Acholeplasmatales; Acholeplasmataceae. The record is from RNAcentral.